UCUAGAAAACCUUUUUUCUUCUCCCCCCCCCCCAUUCUUCUUAUUUCUGAAUGGUCGCCGAGAUGGGAACAAGUGUUUAUUGUGUGUGUGUCUGACGGGGCGCAUGCCGAAAUAAAUCCCUAAAUAGCUCUUGAUUGUUUGCUGUAACCA
Caenorhabditis elegans is the source of this 150-nucleotide non-coding RNA. Lineage: Eukaryota; Metazoa; Nematoda; Chromadorea; Rhabditida; Rhabditidae. The record is from Ensembl.